GGGGAUGUUCCUGCAGCUGCACCGCUACUGCUCUCCAGGCUGCUUAACUGCCAGUGUCAGGCAGGGUGCAGGCAAGAGGGAAGCAGCUUCUGUUGUGCUGCCUCUGUCUGGCAGAGCAGAGUCUGUUGCCUGAGCAUGAGCCACGACUCCUCCAUUGAGGCUCCGUGGGAUUGGGGACAGUACAGCCGUCCCUCAUGGCAUGCUGGCCAGUGCCUGGCUGGGGGCAGGCUCAGGGCUUUGGUGCAGUCUGUGGCCCUGUGCUCAUGCUCUGUUUUAUCUCUUGGGGCCAGCGUCUCUGGUCAGGUGAAAAAAGCUGAGACCAACAGACCCGUGUGUUCACCAGUGACAGGCCAGGUGAGUCCUGAAGGCUGUUCUGGGCCAGAGCUGCAGGGAGCUGCUGCCCCUCUGCCUGCUCUGCGAGGGCAGGUGGGCUGCAGCUUGGCAGGGAGGCAGGCACUGCACCCCAUGGACAGGUGUGAGGGAGGAUGGCUUGCAGGAAGGAUCCUGCUCAGUUAAGAGUUGCUGUGUGAGCUUGGAGGGGAUGGGAUUGCAGUAUCACCCUGUGUCCUUGGCACAGUGAUUCAGCCUGGAGGCCCAAAAAGCUGCUCGCCCUCCUGCAGCUGCCUCCUGUGCCCAGAAGAGUUCAGAGCUCCUGCAACACCAGCAACACAAGUGGGGCCAAAGCAGAGCUGUCCUGGCAGAGCUCCUGGGAGAGCAUCAGCCACCCACCUCACCCAAGCUGCUGCUGGAGCCCAUCCCCAGCCAGGAGCCCAGGGGCAGUGGGGAGAAUGCUGAGACCCUGGAGAGGGACUCCUGCAGCAGCGGUGCUGCCAGCCCAGUGCACGGCACAGCGGGGAUCUGCCCAAAGCGUCCCAGAAGGCCCAGGGUGGAACCAGCAGCUUGUGCACCUCUCAGGAAUCAGGCUGUGGCAUGGACCUCCCUACUGGCUCCAGCACCAAGGUGGCUGCACCCAAAGACUCCAAACUGGCAACAUUGAAAUCCUCCCUGUUGGCCAGUGCUGCUCUGGAGCUGAACAUCACCAUGUCACCACCACCAGCCAUAGAGCUGGUGCUUUCUGCCAAAAGCGCAGCAUCCUGUGGAAGGCGAGCAGAAGUGACCAUUGCACACCACCUCAUUCACAAUUUGCCAACCACACCUACCCCAUGGACACCACCCACCCCAACUCCUUGGCCUGUUGGCAAGUCAAGGCUGUCCUCAUCUGCUCUCCAUCAGCCAAAUCAUGAAAAGCCGACCUUCAGCUUCAUCCUCAGCUCAGCCCUUUGGCUCCCAGCCUCCCCGUGACCAGCUGUUCCACUGCCCACCCUUCGCACCACCUUCCUCCUGCAGCAGCGAGCAGGAGCCCAGCCAGGUCACCCCUGGUUCCUCCAGAAAGUGUCAGUGUAAGCAGCACCGUGGAGCAGACAGCAGCCCCUGUGCUCUGGCUGUGAAGAACAAGGAUCAAGUCUCCAGCCCCCAGGGAAGAAGAAGAAGAAGAAGAAUCUCACAGGAGGGCUCAAUGUCCCCUGCGGGGAAGAAGGUGGCAGGCAAGGGUCCCAGCGGUGGCAGGGAGGCACCCAGCUGUCAGCACCGAAAGAUCAGGCCCGUGGUGCAAGUGUCAGGCCGCAGGACCUGUCUGGACACAGAGGCCAUCUGCCCCCUGAAGAGGAAGAAAAGGAGGAGAUGGAGGAGACAGAAGAGUGCUGCUCAGGGUUAGAAUUAGGUUUAGCAUUAGGGUUACAGAUUGUGGGUAAGGGUUAGAAUGAAGGCUUGGGUUUAGGUUUAGUGUUUAGGGUUUGAGAUAGUGAUAGGGUGAAAGUUAGGAUUAGGAUUAGAGUUACAGUUUGCUGUUAGGUGCUAGGGUUAGACUUGGGGUUAGUGAAGAGUAUUAUGGUAAGUAGUUAGGGUUAGGAGUAGGGACAGAGUUAAGGUUGGGUUUUGGUUAGAGGUAGGUUUAUAGUUUAGGUUUAGAGUUAGUGUUAGUGGUUAGGAUUAGGGUGGGUUAGGGAUGAGGAAUUGGCAUUGUAGUUAGUGAUAGGGUUUGGGGAUAAGGGAAAUGGUUAGAUUUUGGGUUUGGGGUUAGGAUUAGGGGUCUGGUAGUGCUUGGGAUAGUGGUUAGGGUUAAGAGUUAGUGUUAGAGAGAUGGUUAGAGUAAGGGUUGGAAUUUGGGGUAGAGCUGCGGUUAGCGGUUAGGACCAGGAUCAGAGUUUUCCUUAGGGUUAUCAUUUAUUGGUUAUUGUUUCUUGGCUAGCGUGUAUUAGUUAGGUUUAGAGUUAGGAUUAGUGUUUAAGCUUAGGUUUCAGUGUUAGGAUUAGAGGCUAGGGUUAGAGGAUAUGUUAGGCUGAGAAUUAGUGCUACAGGGUAGAGUUAGGCUUAGGUUUAUAUUAGCAUCAGAGGGGGCUAGUGUUUCGUCAGAUGUAGGGAUAGGGCAUUGGGUAAAGCAUAGGUUCAGGAUUAGAGUUAGCAGUUGUGGAUUAGGAUUAGUGUCAGGUUGAGAUAAGUUGUAUGGUGAGCCUUAGAUUAGGGUUAGGGGUUUGGGUGUAGAAUUAGAGUUAGCGUUAGGUAAGGUUUCAGGUUGGGUUUAGGUUUAGAUUACAGGUAGGUUUAGGGGUUGGGGAGAAGAGUUAGGGUUAUAGUUAGGAUUAGGUUUUGCAGUUAGGGUUAGUGGUCAGUUUUCGAGUUCUAAUUAGAGUUAGGGUUAGACUUAGCCUUAGGGAAAAGAGUUAAUUUUGUUUUAGGGAUAGGAUUUGGAUUAGUGUGAAGGUGUAGGGGUUAUUGUUAAAGUAAGUAUGAGGUUUAGAAUGAGGCUUGCAGGCUAGGAUUGGGGUUAAGGUUUAGGAGUUAGGUUUAGAAAAAGUGUUAGGGGUUUGUUUUUGUGGUUAGAGUUAGAAUUAGAGUUAAGGAUAGGCUUAUAGUAAGCAGUUAGAAUUUAGGGUUACGGUUAUAGUUAGGCUUAGAUUAGGUUUAUUGUUAGGGUUUGUUAUUAGGGCUUUGGUUAGGGCUAGAGUUAGCAUUAGGUUUCAGGUUUAGACUUAGGGUUAGGAUUUACAGUAAUGGUUAGACUUAGGGUAAAAAUUAGGGGUUAAUUUAAGGGUUAAGUUAGGGUUAGAUUUAGAGUUAGGGUUAGGAUUAGGUUUAGGUUUAGCAUUUAGAUAAGGGUUAGGUUUUACAUAAGGUUGAGGAUUAGUGUUAGAUAAGGUUUUGGGCUAGGGGAUAGAGUUAGGGUUAGAGUGUGGGAUAAGCUUAUGGAGCAUGGUUAGGUUUAGUGUUUGGGAUUAGGAUAUUGAGUUAGGGUUAUGGGUCAGGUUUGGGGUUAGAGUUAGUCUUAGAGUUGGGAUUAAAGUUUGGGCAAGAGGAUAGAGUAUAGGGUUAAGGGUUAGGGUUAGGAGUUUGUGUUUGGGUUAUAUGAGGUUUAGGUUAGGGUUACGUGGUAGGGUUAAGGUCUAGGGUUAGAUUUAGGGUAAAGGUAAGUGUUAGGAGUAACAGUUAGGGUUAGGCUUAGGAAUUAGGGAGUUGGGUUAGAUUUUGGGCUUAGGGGUUUGAGCUAAGGUUAGGGGGAAGGGUUACAUUUAGGGUUAGAAAUAGGGUUAAAUGUAGGGCAAGGGGUCAGAGUUAGUGUUAGAAUUACUGUUAGGGUUAGGAGUAUGUGUUUCAGUUAGAUGAGGUUUAGGAUUAGGGUUAUGUUUUAGAGUUAGGCUUUAGGGGUCAGAGUUAAGGUUAGUGCUAGACUUAGGAGCUAGGGAUUAGUCUGAGAGUUAGGGUUUGAGGUUCGGGUAUGUGUUUGCAUUGGGGUUUGGGUUAGGUGUUCAAGUAUUAGGAAGUGUCAGUGGAAGUGGUUAGGGGUUAGACUGAGGAGGCAGGGAUAGGGUUAGGGUUAUUUUUAGAGUUCGGUUUAGGGUUAGAGUUAGGUGUAGGGUCAGGGUUUGAUUAGGGUUAGAAUUAAGGCUAGGGCUUUUGGGUUAGGGUGAGAGAUAGAGUUUGGUUUUAGGUCUAGGUUUGUGAUUACAGUAAGAGGGCUAAGCAUUAGGUUUAGAGUUGGAGUUAGGCUUAGGGGUUUGCAUUAGGGUUCCAUUAGGGUGAAGAUAAUUGGGUAGAAUUUAGGGUUAAGCUUAGGGGUGAGGAAGUAGCAUUAGUGGACAUAGUUAGGAGUAGGCUUAGGUGUAAGAGUUGGGGUUUGGGGUUAGAUUUUGGGUUAGAGUUAGGGAUAGGAAUUAGGAUUAGGGUAAGGGUUGGAUUAGUUUUAAGUUUAGGGGCUAGGCAGUAGUGUUAGAAGAGGUGGUUAGGGUUAGGUUUCAUAAUUCUGUUGGAGAUGGGGAUUCGGGUUGAUGGUUAGGGUGUAAUGUUAUUGUAAAUGGUUAAGAUUAGCAUAAGAGAUUAGGUUUAGGGGUGAGGCUAGAGUUAGGGUUAGGAUUCUGUUUAGAGGUUGGGUUAGGGUUAGAUUUCAGGUUAGAGUUAGGGUUAGGGUUGGGUUAGGUUGGUUUAAAGCUUAUGGUUAGAGUUAGGUUAGUGAUAGGGUUCUGGUUAGGUUAAGGUUAGGGUUUACGUUUAGUGUUAGGAUUAGGUUUCAAGUUAGGGUUAGAGUUAGUAUUAGGGUUUAGGCUUACCAUGAAGGUUAUAGUUAGUGUUAGUGGUCAGCAUUAGGGUUACCAUAAGUGCUGGGUUUGUGUUAGGGAGUAGUGUUAAGGUUACUGGAACUAGGGGUUAGUUUCAGGGUUUAGGGGUUAUUGCUAGAGUUAGGGUGAGGUUUAGAAUGAUGAUUACUGGCUAGGGUUAGGGUUAAGGUUUAGGGCUGAGCUUUAGAGUCAGCUUUAGGGGGUUGGUGUUAGGGUUAGGUAUUAGGGAGAAGAAUUAGGGUUAGAUGUAAGGAUAAGAUUAUGGCUAGGAUAAGUGGUUAGGAUUUAGGGUUAGGGUUAUAGUUCCUUUUAGGGUUAGAUUAGAGUCAGUGGUCGGGUAGCGUUACCAGUUGGAGGAAAGGUUAGAUUUUGGGUUUGAUGUUAGAGUUAGAUUUUGGGUUGUGGGUAUUGUUAGGUUAGGGUUUGGAUUUCUACUUAUGUUAUGUUACUCUUAGGGUUAGAGUUAGGGGUUUGUCUUAAAUUUUAGGAUUAGAUUUAGGAUUAGUAUUUAGGUUUACAUUUAGGCUUAAGUUUUAGGAUUUGGUUUAGGGUAAUGGUUGGAUUAGGGUUAGUGUUAGAGGUUCUGGAGUUUUGUUAAGGGUAGAGUUAAGUUUUGGGGUUAGAUUUAGGGUUAGAUCAGGGUUAGGGCAUUGAAUUAGUUUUAGAGUUAGGGUUAGAGGUUGGUCUUAGAUUUAGCCUUUGCUUUAGGAUUACAGUAAGUGAUUGGACUAACAUUAGAGAGUUAGAUUUAGGGAUAGUUGUUAGGGGUAGGGUUAGGGUUAUUAUUAGAGUUUGAUUGGGAUUGGGUUUCGGGUUUAUGGGUAGGGAUGUGGUUAGUGGUAAGGGUUAGUAUUAGGGUUAGUGUUAGAGGUAAGGAUUAAGGUUAGGGGUUAGGGAAUAGUGUUAGUAUAAGCAGUUAGACUUCAGGUUUAGGGGGAAAGGGUAGGAAUAUGGUUAAGGUUAGCACUAUUUGUAGGUAUUACAGUUAGGGUUAGGUUUAGGUUAGGGGUUAGUGUUAGGGGUCAGAGUAAGAAUUAGGGUUAGGGGUUAGGGUUAGAGGUCAGGUUAGGGUAACCAUUACAUUUUUUAUUAAAUUUAGGGUUAGAAUUAGGCUUAGAAUUUAGACUUAGAGUUAAGAUUUAAGUUAAGGAUAGGGAUUAGGAUUAGGGUUAGGGUAAGGCUUGGAUUGGAGUUAGAUGUGGGGGUUAGGGAUUUGUGUUAUUUGAAUGGUCAGGUUUAGGUUUUAGAUUUAUAUUGAAGGGUUAGGGACAGGACACUGGGUUAGGCUUAGAGGUAGUGUUAAUGUUAUUUUCGGGAUAGGGCUUUAGACUUAAAGUUAGUCUUAGAAUUAUGGGUUAGGAUUUAGCAUUAGAUUAGAGAUAGGUUUAGGUUAGGGUUUAGGGUUAGGCUUAGAGGUUGAGUUAAUGGUUUGGGUUAGAUAUUAGGGUUGGGUUAGUGUUAAUUUUAGUAUGAGUGCUCAGGGUUGGCAACUGGGUUAAUGGGCUAGGGAUAGAAAUGAGGCUAGGAUUAGAUUAGAGUUAGGUUUAGGUUUAAGGUUUGUUUUAGAGGUGAAUUUAGGGGUUAGGCAUAGAUUUCAGGUUAGAGGUAGGAUUAGUGUUGGGUCUGGGUUAGGGUUAGUUUAGUUUAGGGUUACCAUUGAGGUUAGGUUAGUGAUAGGAUUAGUGUUAGGUUAGGGUUAGAGUUUAGGAUUGGGGUUAGAGUUUAGGGUUACUGUUAGGGUUAGAGUCAGGGUUAGGGCUCAGUUUUUGAUUUAUGGUUAUGGUUAGUGGUAGGGGUUAGGAUUAAGGUUGAGGUAAGGGUUGGAAUAGUGUUAGGUUUUGGGGUUAGGGUCAGUGGAAGUGGUUAGGCUUAGAGGUUAGAUUUAUGGGUUAGGGACAGGGAUAGGGUUAGGGUUAUGUUUAGAUUUAGGUUUAUGGUUUAAGUUAGAGGUAGGGUUAGGGUUUGAGUUUGGACUUAGACUCAGGCUUUAAUUUAAGAUUAGAGUGAGUGUAUGGGUUAAGAAUUAUGGUUAGUUUUUUUUAGGUAUAGAUGUUAGGCUUACAGUUAGAGUUAGGUUUUGAAUAGGGUUAGGGUUUGGGGGUGGGAGUAGAGAUUAGGUUAGGGUUAGAGUUAUUGUUAGGGGUUAGGAUCAGGGUUGAGGUUUAGCAAGUAGUGUUAAUGUAAGUGGUUAGGGUUAGGGUUUAGUUGUAGGGGUUAGGGGUAGGGUUAGUGAUUAGAGAGAAGAGUUAGGAUUAUAGUUAAGGAUAGGGUUAGGGUUAGCAGUUAUGACUUAGGGUUAGGGUUUCAGCUAGGGUUAGAUAAUGGUUAGGGUUAGAGUUGGCUUUACCAGUUGGGGGAAGGGUUAGAGUUAGGGUCUGGUGUUACGGUCUUGGUUAGGGCUAGAGUUAGCGUUAGAUUUUAGGGUUAGACUUGGAGUUAGGGCUAGGAAUUACAGUUAAGGUUAGUGUUAGGGUUAAAGUUAGGGCUUAGUUUAAGGGUUAAGUUAGGUUUAAGAGUUAGGAUUGCAUUUAGAGUUAGGGUUAGCAUUAGGGUUGUGAUUUGGAUAAGGGUUAGUGUUAGAUAAGGUUUGGGGUUAGGUUUAGAUUAGGGUUAGGGAAUAGAGUUAGAGUCAGGGCAGGAUUAGAGUUCAGGUUAGGGUUAGGCUUACUGUCAGGGUUAGGCUUAGGAUUAGGAGUUUGGGUUAGGCUUAGGGUUAGAAUUGGGGUAAGGGCUUGGGGUUAUGGUUAGAUUAGUUUUAGGUUAGUGUUAGGGUUGGUGGUAUGGGUUUAGUUAGGGUUAGGAGUUAGGGAGUAGUGUUAUUGUAAGUGGUUAGGAUUAGUGUAAGGGGGUAGGGUUGGGGUGGGGAUAGGGUUAAGGUUAGAAUUAUGGGUUAGGGUUGCAGUUAGGAUUUGGAAUUAGGGGUUAGAGUUAGGUUUUGGGACAGGGGUUUGGGGUUCAGGUUAGAGUAAGGGUUAGGAUUGAGGAUAAGGGUUAGGCUUUGGGUAAGUGUUGGGUUAAUGUUAAGGGUUGGGGUUAGGGAGUAGUGGAAGUGGUUAGGAGUAGGUUUAGGUAUUAGGGUUAGAUUUCAGGUUAGGGUUUGGAUUUACAUUUAGGGUUAGGUUAGUGUUCAGGUUAGAGUUAGGGUUAGUGGUUAGUUUUGGAUUUACAGGUAGGGUUAGGUUUAGGGAUCAGGGUGUUGUGUCAGUGGAAGUGGUUAAGGUUAGGGGUAGUUUUAGGAUUUAGGGUUUGAGUUAGGGUUAAGUUUUAGGUUAGAUUAGAGUUAGGGGAUGGUGUUUACAGUUAGACUUAUGGUGUAGGGGUUUGGACGAGGUUUACAGUUAGGACUAGAUUUUGGUUUUACACUUGGUCUUUUUUUAGGAUUACAGUAAGUGUCUGGACUAAGUGUUAGGGUUAGAAUUCGGGUGAGUGUUAGGGGUCGGUGUUAGGGGGUAGGGUUAGGGUAGUAUUAGGGUUUGAUUAGGGUUACAGUUGGGUAUUAGUAGGUAGAGAUAUGGAUAGGGGUUAGUGGCACAGGAUAGAGUAAGAGUUAGUGCUAAGGGCUAGGAUUAGGGUUUAUGGAGUAGUGUUGAGUUUAGUGUUAGGGCUAAGAAUUAGUCUUUGGAGUUAGGGAAUAGUGUUAGUGUAAGCAGUUAGGGUUAGGUUUUAAUAUUAGGGGUAAAAAGGGUAGGACUAGGGUUAGGGUUAGAGUUAGGAUUAUGGCUAAGUAUUAGAGUUAGAUUAGGUUUAGAAAAGGGUUAGAGUUUAGGGUUGGAGAUAGCAUUAGGGGUAAAUUUUACGGUUUGGGUUAGAGUUAGGAUUAUGUUUUAGCUUUAGAUUUAGGUUAGAGUUAGGGAUCGGGUUAGGAUUAGGGUUAGGGUUAGUGUUAGGCAGUAGUGUUAGUGGAAUGGUCAGAGUUAGGUUAGGGGUUAGGAUUAGGGUCAGAGUUAGGGUUAGAAUUGGGGUAAGGGCUUGGGGUUACAGUUAGAUUAGUUUUAGGUUAGUGUUAGGGUUGGGGGUAGGGGUUUAGUUAGGGUUAGAGGUUAGGGAGUAGUGUUAUUCUAAGUGGUUAGGAUUAGUGUAAGGGGGUAGGGUUAGGGGUGGGGAUAGGGUUAAGGUUAGAAUGAUGGGUUAGGGUUGCAGUUAGGGUUUGUGACGGGCGUAGAGUUAGGUUUUGGGACAGGGGUUUUGCUCAGGGUCCCAGGGGGAUGUGUCAGGUACCAAGGCCUGGAUGAAGAGCUCCCUUCUUGGUCGCACACAUCCCAAACGACAGGGACACGUCUGUGACUUAUCUGCCUGGCGCUGUCCCACCAGCAGUGGCAGAUGCGUCCUGGAGAGGAGUGGAACUGCCAGGCACUGUCAGAGGAUCUCCCUGAGGUGCCACUCGCUGCCCACCCAGACUCACACCCUGUCCCUGGCUGUGACAGAUACAGCAGCUACGAGCUCUGGACACAGGACACAACAGUCCAACAGCAGAGACCAUCUCUCCUGAACUGAAAGACUCUUAUGACCCUGGAGCCCAAAGCCAUGGACCACAUGAACUCAUUGGACACUUUAGAGGUGGGGCCUAUAGACUGAGGAGUGAGAUCUGUGUGUAUAUCCAGAGAUAGGAAAGUGCUGUUGAUUAACUGGAAUGUAUUGGAGAGUGUGGGACCCGGGCACAACACAGAUGGUACAGAAUAAGGGGGGGGCACUGUCCUGGUUUCAGCUGGGAGAGAGUUAAUUUUAUUCCUAGUAGCUGGUAGAGUGCGGUGUGUUGGAUUUAAUCUGAGAAGAUUGUUGCUAGCACAGGGAUGUUUGGGUUGUUGCUAAGCCAUGUUUAUCCCAAACCAAGGACUUUUCAGCAAGGAGGCUGAAGAUGCACAAGAAGCUGGGAGGGGCACAGGCAGGACAGCUGGCCCAAGUGCCCAAAGGGCUGUUCCACACCAUAUGAUGUCAUGCUUGGUGUGUAAACUAGAGAAAAGUUAUCUGGGGGACCGCUGUUUGGGAUCUGGCUGGGUGUCGCUCGAUGGGUUGUGAGCAAUUGCAUUGUGCGUGACUUGGUUUAUAUCUCCUGUUAUUAUUAUUACCAUUUUUGCGAUUACUACUAUUACUACUGCCAUCCUUAUUAUUAUAAUUACUAUUACUAUAAUUAUUUUAUUUAUUAUCAUUAUAAUAUUAUAUUUGUUGUAGCUGUUGUAGCUAUUGUAGCUGUUUUAGCUGUUGUUGCUAUUGUAGCUAUUGUUGCUGUCAUUGCUAUUGUAGCUCUUGUUGCUGUUGUUAUUGUUUUGCCUUUCUGUCUCAUUAAACUGUCUUCAUUUUAACCCAAGAUGUUUCUUUCUUUCCUGAUUCCCUCUCCCACCCCACUGGGCUGG
Columba livia (rock pigeon) is the source of this 9961-nucleotide long non-coding RNA. RefSeq lists it as uncharacterized. NCBI's taxonomy places the organism in Eukaryota, Metazoa, Chordata, Aves, Columbiformes, Columbidae. The transcript is spliced from 3 exons. The record is from RefSeq and is a predicted model, not a curated record.